This 663-nucleotide ribosomal RNA is filed under the name Heterosigma akashiwo. RNAcentral describes it as "partial Bacterial large subunit ribosomal RNA". It matches the Rfam family "Bacterial large subunit ribosomal RNA", at positions 510 to 1174 of the family's 2925-position model. Lineage: Eukaryota; Raphidophyceae; Chattonellales; Chattonellaceae. The record is from RNAcentral.
AAAGGUGAAAAGAACCCCGGGAGGGGAGUGAAAUAGAACAUGAAACCUUAAGCUUACAAGCAGUAGGAGGACGACUUAUCGUUUGACUGCGUGCCUGUUGAAGAAUGAGCCGGCGACUUAUAGUUAGUGGCAGGUUAAGGUAGAGAAUACUGGAGCCACAGUGAAAGCGAGCUUUAAUAGAGCGUGUGUCACUAGUUAUAGACCCGAACCCGGAUGAUCUAACCAUGGCCAGGAUGAAGCCUAGGUAAUACUAUGUGGAGGUCCGAACCGACUGAUGUUGAAAAAUCAGCGGAUGAGUUGUGGUUAGGGGUGAAAUACCAAUCGAAUUCGGAGCUAGCUGGUUCUCCCCGAAAUGCGUUUUGGCGCAGCGGUAGAUGUUAUAGUUUAGGGGUAAAGCACUGUUACGUAUGCGGGCUGGUAAUUCGGUACCAAAUCGAGGCAAACUCUGAAUACUAAGUGAACAGUUAACCAGUAAGACUGUGGGGGAUAAGCUCCAUUGUCAAGAGGGAAACAGCCCAGAGCACCAGUUAAGGCCCUUAAAUAAUUACUAAGUGGUAAAGGAGGUGGGAGUGCAUAAACAAUCAGGAGGUUUGCUUAGAAGCAGCAAUCCUUUAAAGAGUGCGUAAUAGCUCACUGGUCAAGUGAUUCCGCGCCGACAAUGUA